GGCAUAUAGUUCAGUUGGUAGAGUGUUUGUCUUGCAUAAAUACACAAGGCCCUGGGUUCAAUCCCCAGCACUGCCA
This is a non-coding RNA of Ictidomys tridecemlineatus (thirteen-lined ground squirrel), 76 nucleotides long. NCBI's taxonomy places the organism in Eukaryota, Metazoa, Chordata, Mammalia, Rodentia, Sciuridae. The record is from Rfam.